Non-coding RNA from Chrysemys picta bellii (western painted turtle), 850 nucleotides. NCBI's taxonomy places the organism in Eukaryota, Metazoa, Chordata, Testudines, Emydidae. The record is from RefSeq and is a predicted model, not a curated record.
ACAACAGUGAGCAGGUGGAGCAGGAUGUGUGUAACACUUGUUGUGUCAAUAAUGAUCACCCUCCAUCUUGGAAGAUGGGGCUCUGGGCUUCUGAGGGUGAUCUGCAGCCUUCAGUGAACAGCAGGCUCUGGCAUCUCUUGUUUUACAGGCUCUUUCCUCUCUGCAGCCCAGCCACAAUCCAGCAGGAGUUUGGGGUGUUGCACUAUAAUGGUGUGGUCAAAGAGGAAGUGUGAAGAGGGCUGACCAGCAGUUACAGUACCAAAGGCAGAAGGAUUCAAUGCAAGUUGAAAGACAGAGAGGCUGCAGAGUGUGAUGAGAGACUUGUAGCAGUUUCUUGAGCAAGAAAUGUUGCUUGAGGGAGGAAGACAGAGUGCAUCAGAAACCUGUUUGAGAGGCUGCGUAUACUAAUGGCUGUGAGAGUACAGGCUCCUGGUCCACUCUCACCUUCUGCGCCAGCACCAUGUCCUGAGUGAGCUCCAUGGUACCAUGUCCUGAAGAUCAGGAACCCACUGGACAAUUCUAUGGGUGGGCAUCCUAUGCAACCAGGACUGAACAUUAUUUGGACUGGGCAAAUGUACCCAAUGCAGUCUUCCAUCCCUGUGCAAUCCUUCAUCUCCAUGCAGCACCGCCGAGUGAGAAAGGAGAAUAGGGGAUGGGGACACCCAGGAGUAGGAGAGUUUCCUUUUUUUCUACACUGGUUUCACUAUUUUGUACUGUUAAAUGUUUGUGUUAUGAACUUUAUUUUGUUUCUGGUUUGUUCUUUUUAUAGCAGCUGGCCAGCCUGUCAGUUUUUUAAUACUGUCAUUUUGUAAUACAACCACGUUAACGAAUAAAGUCUUUGAAUUCAUUA